UUGGAAAGGAGGGAAUAGAUAGCACUCAGAGCCUGCUGGAUACAGACAUCAGUGAAGCCCCAGAGGAUGGUGGAACCACAGAUGGAAGGAGCCUGGGCAUCAUGACGCCGAGAGCUGCCCUGCUGACCUGAACAUGUGCCUGGAACUGUUAAGUCUGUACCACAUGAAGAAGAAAACCAUCACCGAGGCAUCUGCCUCCCACCACCCGACAGCAACGCGAAGGUCUCACUGAAGUGGAAACUCGCCGCGGAGCCUGUUCAAUCGAGAGGAGGAAGGAAGGAAAAGCGAAGGAAAAGGGCUAAUCUCCG
Molecule: long non-coding RNA, 308 nt
Organism: Myotis brandtii (Brandt's bat)
Lineage: Eukaryota; Metazoa; Chordata; Mammalia; Chiroptera; Vespertilionidae
Exons: 3
Source: RefSeq, a predicted model, not a curated record